AAGCAGUGAUGAGUCUAUCCCGAACCUGAGUCUUUGAUGACACACAUAUGGAUCUGACUGCUGAGCU
This is a non-coding RNA of Xenopus tropicalis (tropical clawed frog), 67 nucleotides long. The record is from Rfam. Lineage: Eukaryota; Metazoa; Chordata; Amphibia; Anura; Pipidae.